GGCCCGGUAGCUCAGCGGUAGAGCAGCGGACUCAUAAUCCGUCGCGCGCAGGUUCGAAUCCUGCCCGGGCCA
This 72-nucleotide transfer RNA is filed under the name Actinomycetota bacterium. RNAcentral's name for it is "tRNA-Ile". It matches the Rfam family "tRNA". Rfam says of the family: Transfer RNA (tRNA) molecules are approximately 80 nucleotides in length. Their secondary structure includes four short double-helical elements and three loops (D, anti-codon, and T loops). Further hydrogen bonds mediate the characteristic L-shaped molecular structure. tRNAs have two regions of fundamental functional importance: the anti-codon, which is responsible for specific mRNA codon recognition, and the 3' end, to which the tRNAs corresponding amino acid is attached (by aminoacyl-tRNA synthetases). tRNAs cope with the degeneracy of the genetic code in two manners: having more than one tRNA (with a specific anti-codon) for a particular amino acid; and 'wobble' base-pairing, i.e. permitting non-standard base-pairing at the 3rd anti-codon position. Lineage: Bacteria; Bacillati; Actinomycetota. The record is from RNAcentral. RNAcentral also lists the same sequence under 1 other name.